This is a long non-coding RNA of Canis lupus familiaris (dog), 1635 nucleotides long. RefSeq lists it as uncharacterized. The record is from RefSeq and is a predicted model, not a curated record. NCBI's taxonomy places the organism in Eukaryota, Metazoa, Chordata, Mammalia, Carnivora, Canidae. The transcript has 7 exons.
CCUUAAUGCUGCCUGUCUCUUGAGAACAGACUCUCUCAAGAGAUUCUGAACACUUCCUUGAAUAGCUCCGGACCCAAAAUACUUCUUUAACAGUUGGCUCUUCUGAAACAAGUCCCAGUGGGAAAGGAAAGGCCGGAAGCAAAGUGUCCGUGAGAAUACCUUCUGUGACCGAAGCAAGAGGAUCCAGAAAGAAAACUUGAUAUUAAGCUGUGGAGCGAUUCAGACAAGGCUCACAAUGUGCUGAGAAGUUGCAAGCCACCCGUAACAGCCAGCUCCUCACACACCGGAACCGAGAGCUGAUCCUCUUGUAAACACGCCCCUUUACCAUGCUUUCUCUCCUGCUUUCCUCUCCAUUGAAACCUUCCCAAAUUCAAGGAGGAGAAAAGACAUGGCUUGAUCUGAAGAUCAGCCAUAAACUGAAGUUUUAUAUCACUUAGAGCGCAUGAGACAACAACAUCAAUUAUUUACAGUAGAAACUAUAAAGCAUUAAUAUUUUAUUUCAUGUCAAGAACCACAUGCUAUGUAAAAAGCAGGUGUCACAAUGAGUUUCAGAGGAAUUUAAAGACAAUAAGUGAGAUACUCAACAUAAAUAUGCAUUUCCUAUUUCCCUUUAAGCAUAAAAUGUACACAACCCACAAAAGUUGGCAUCAAAUUUACAACUGCUUUUGCUCGCCAAACCUGGAAGAUGGCUGGCACAGAUGCUCAGGACAUGUAACCUAAACCGGGGGAUCAGAACCGGGAAAUUCCAGGAGCAAGCAGUGCUAGCAACAGCACAUCCAUUGAAACCUUGACUUAUUAGGCUUUGAAGCAACAAUCGUAAUGCCCAACACUAGGUGUUUGAGGGAAGAUUAUGUAAAAUAAUAUGUGCCACUUCCCGGCUCAUACCUAAGAAAUAAUAAAUGUCGGAAUCUCUUUUGCCACCAAGAGAAGCCCAGACGAGGCUAACAAAGGACCAGACCACAAAGAACAGAGGGCAGCCAUCCAGCUUACUACCACUGGACCAACCCACUGAGAUCACAAAAGUACUCCAAGUGAGUCCCAUCCAAGAGAAUGAAGAAAAGAAGUCUUGAACAGACCGAAUAAGGAGACUCUCAUGUAUCAAGGAUUAUAACUAAUUCAUUUGUGUGCAGUUGACCUUGAGCCCACGAGGAAAAAAAGAAGUGAAUGACAUGAUAUAUGUAGUCUCCUAAUGUCAAGUGGAAAAAAAUGCAUCAAACUGUAUAUUUAGCAGGACUCCAAAGCCCUAUAAUGAAGAGCAUUCCUAGGAUAGCCCACUAUUCAGAGAAGAAGGAUGAGAGUUAUGUGGAUCAGAGCUGCCCCAGGCAACCUCCAGACCUGCAGUGAGAAGCAGAGCUGCAUAGCUCGGAACAGGCCAGCUCUACCCACCAGUACACACAUGCAGGUGAAAAUAGAACAGGCAAAAUGGAGGCCAUGGAUUAAGCCUACUGAUCUAAAGUCUCUUAGAUGGUGUACAUUCUAAGAUACUGCAUCCUGCUCCCAUGCUUCACUGUACCACAUACAAUUGCUUCAAUAUCUGAUGCUUGGCUGUUUGACCUCUGUAUUCUGCACUCAGGGAGAGUGAUGGAGACAAUUCAUUCUGACAUAUUUUUCUCAGAAUCUCAUGAUUUCCUACUU